UGGUGGGUAGUUUGACUGGGGCGGUCUCCUCCUAAAGAGUAACGGAGGAGCACGAAGGUUGGCUAAUCCUGGUCGGACAUCAGGAGGUUAGUGCAAUGGCAUAAGCCAGCUUGACUGCGAGCGUGACGGCGCGAGCAGGUGCGAAAGCAGGUCAUAGUGAUCCGGUGGUUCUGAAUGGAAGGGCCAUCGCUCAACGGAUAAAAGGUACUCCGGGGAUAACAGGCUGAUACCGCCCAAGAGUUCAUAUCGACGGCGGUGUUUGGCACCUCGAUGUCGGCUCAUCACAUCCUGGGGCUGAAGUAGGUCCCAAGGGUAUGGCUGUUCGCCAUUUAAAGUGGUACGCGAGCUGGGUUUAGAACGUCGUGAGACAGUUCGGUCCCUAUCUGCCGUGGGCGCUGGAGAACUGAGGGGGGCUGCUCCUAGUACGAGAGGACCGGAGUGGACGCAUCACUGGUGUUCGGGUUGUCAUGCCAAUGGCACUGCCCGGUAGCUAAAUGCGGAAGAGAUAAGUGCUGAAAGCAUCUAAGUACGAAACUUGCCCCGAGAUGAGUUCUCCCUGACUCCUUGAGAGUCCUGAAGGAACGUUGAAGACGACGACGUUGAUAGGCCGGGUGUGUAAGCGCAGCGAUGCGUUGAGCUAACCGGUACUAAUGAACCGUGAGGCUUAACCUUACAAC
This 677-nucleotide ribosomal RNA is filed under the name Escherichia coli. Its description in RNAcentral is "partial 23S ribosomal RNA". It matches the Rfam family "Bacterial large subunit ribosomal RNA", at positions 2259 to 2925 of the family's 2925-position model. Lineage: Bacteria; Pseudomonadati; Pseudomonadota; Gammaproteobacteria; Enterobacterales; Enterobacteriaceae. The record is from RNAcentral.